RNAcentral lists this unclassified non-coding RNA (971 nucleotides) under Hevea brasiliensis (rubber tree). Lineage: Eukaryota; Viridiplantae; Streptophyta; Magnoliopsida; Malpighiales; Euphorbiaceae. The record is from RNAcentral.
AAAAAAAAGGCUUCAGAUAUGUUCAAGCAAGGAUCUACUAGAGCAGUUUUUAACCCCCUACAUGUUGAAAGUUGUUUUCUUUUUCUGAUUGUAGCCAUUUAUCCAUCCUUCAAUCAGCUUGAUUUCGGUUGUCCUCUGCUCUACCAACCAAUCAGGAUCCUCAGGUGUUGAAGGACGCAAGUCUAUGUGAUGAGCCCCUGAUACAUGGUAAAAAGAAUGAUAUAUUAUUUUCACCAGAAAAAUAUUCUCCUCAUUUUAGCUGCUUAGUUAUGAACACACCUAGCACAAGAUCAACUCAAGUAAGCCUCAACCAUAAUUUGAUUGCGGUACCUAAUAAGAAAUCAUACUGACUAAUUUAUCACAUGCAGAAAUGCAAAAAAGUUAUUGCAGUCUCACUGGGAUAGCAUAAGGAAGCAUGUCACACUAGCACAGAAUUAUAACUAAAUGUAAAUGGUCAAACAGAUUUUAUCCUAAAAACAAACUCAAUCAACUCACAAAUAGCACUGACAACUCAAAACUGGAUUGAAAGUUUGACAAAUCUUCCUAAGUUAUAGACCUCUCAAGAGAUUGACAGGAGGUGAAUCUAAAAUGUGACAAAAGGAUAUGAAAUUAUAAUGUCCACCAUCAUAAAUCAGCCAGCCAUUCAGGAGGUUAUUUUCUAGCACAUUCUGCAGUAUGAACUUUAUGAAUUAGUACCAAGCAUGCCGGUAGGGCUAGGGAAGUGGACAAGUUUGCCAAAACUGCCAAACUGGAAUAAACUGAAUGAGUUGAUUUUUAUAUUUUAUAACACAUCCAAUAUCUGAUUUAAAGAAAUAGGCUGACUCAUAAGGGUCUUAUAGAUACAAUAGUUAAAACAGAAAUAGGCUUACAAGGCCCAAACUAUUAGAAACUAAACAAGAUCAUAUUAUUGCUAUUAUUUAAUUUGCAAAAAAAAAAUCCCAAUCAGUUGGAAAAAUUUAGAGACUAUAAUU